This 253-nucleotide ribosomal RNA is filed under the name uncultured bacterium. RNAcentral's name for it is "partial 16S ribosomal RNA". It matches the Rfam family "Bacterial small subunit ribosomal RNA", at positions 524 to 776 of the family's 1533-position model. The record is from RNAcentral.
UACAGAGGUCUCAAGCGUUGUUCGGAUUCAUUGGGCGUAAAGGGUGCGUAGGCGGCGCGGUAAGUCGGGUGUGAAAUCUCGGAGCUUAACUCCGAAACUGCAUUCGAUACUACCGUGCUUGAGGACUGGAGAGGAGACUGGAAUUUACGGUGUAGCGGUGAAAUGCGUAGAUAUCGUAAGGAAGACCAGUGGCGAAGGCGGGUCUCCGGACAGUUCCUGACGCUGAGGCACGAAGGUCAGGGGAGCAAACGGG